This 489-nucleotide long non-coding RNA is filed under the name Nicotiana tabacum (common tobacco). Its description in RNAcentral is "long non-coding RNA (NTAB_LNC002531)". Lineage: Eukaryota; Viridiplantae; Streptophyta; Magnoliopsida; Solanales; Solanaceae. The record is from RNAcentral.
UUUUUUGGCAUUUUACGGCCAUAAAACUGGAAUUCCGCACGAUUCUCAUAUUUUCGUGUUCUAUAUCCCACGCCUUCUGCCGUCGGCCUGAGACCCCGGACCCGGAUCGCCUACAAGUUUUUCGGGACAUUGAAUACGGCCUAAGCAACCAUAUUCACCACCCCUCCAUGACUAAAUAAAGUUGUUUGGCAUUUUACGGUCAUAAAACUGGAAAUCCGCGCGAGUCCCAAAUUUUUGUGUGCUAUAGCCCACGCCUUCCGCCGUGGGCCCGGGACCCUGGAUCUGGAUCGCCGUAAAUUUUUCUAGGAUGCGAAUAUGGCCUAAGGAACCAUUGUCACCACCCCUCCAUGACCAAUUUACGUUUUAUGGUAUUUUACGGCCAUAAAACUGGAAUUCUGCAUGAUUCUCAUAUUUUCGUGUUCUUUAUCCCACGCCUUCCGCCGUCGGCCUGAGACCCCGGACCCGGAUCACCUAAAAGUUUUCCGGGAC